Molecule: ribosomal RNA, 776 nt
Filed under: Russula ammophila
Lineage: Eukaryota; Fungi; Basidiomycota; Agaricomycetes; Russulales; Russulaceae
Description: partial large subunit ribosomal RNA
Rfam family: Eukaryotic large subunit ribosomal RNA
Source: RNAcentral
CCCUAGUAACUGCGAGUGAAGCGGGAAAAGCUCAAAUUUAAAAUCUGGUGGUCUUUGGCCAUCCGAGUUGUAAUUUAGAGAAGCGUCUUCCGCGCUGGACCAUGCACAAGUCUCCUGGAAUGGAGCGUCAUAGAGGGUGAGAAUCCCGUCUUUGGCAUGGACCCCCAGGGCUUCUGUGAUACGCUCUCAAAGAGUCGAGUUGUUUGGGAAUGCAGCUCAAAAUGGGUGGUGAACUCCAUCUAAAGCUAAAUAUUGGCGAGAGACCGAUAGCGAACAAGUACCGUGAGGGAAAGAUGAAAAGCACUUUGGAAAGAGAGUGAAACAGUACGUGAAAUUGUUGAAAGGGAAACGCUUGAAGUCAGUCGCGUCGACCGAGACUCAGCCUUGCUUCGGCUUGGUGUACUUCUCGGCUGACGGGUCAGCAUCAAUUUCGAUCCUUGGAUAAUGGCAAGGGAAAGGUAGCACCUUUACAGGUGUGUUAUAGUCCUCUGUCGCAUGCAAGGGUCGGGAUUGAGGAACUCAGCACGCGCCUUGUAGGUGUCGGGCCUUUUGGCCUACGUACGUGCUUAGGAUGCUGGCAUAAUGGCUUUAAACGACCCGUCUUGAAACACGGACCAAGGAGUCUAACAUGCACGCGAGUGUUNGGGUGGAAAACCCGUGCGCGUAAUGAAAGUAAAAGUUGGGACCUCUGUCGUGGAGGGCACCGACGCCCGGACCAGACCUUCUGUGACGGCUCUGCGGUAGAGCGUGUAUGUUGGGACCCGAAAGAUGGUGAA